This 416-nucleotide ribosomal RNA is filed under the name uncultured bacterium. RNAcentral describes it as "bacterial SSU rRNA". It matches the Rfam family "Bacterial small subunit ribosomal RNA", at positions 28 to 427 of the family's 1533-position model. The record is from RNAcentral.
GAUGAACGCUGGCGGCGUGCCUAACACAUGCAAGUCGAACGAAGCACUUUUUUACGAUCCCUUCGGGGUGACGAAUUUGUGACUGAGUGGCGGACGGGUGAGUAACGCGUGGGAAACCUGCCUUGUACCGGGGGAUAGCAGUUGGAAACGACUGAUAAUACCGCAUAAGCGCACAGUAUCACAUGAUACAGUGUGAAAAACUCCGGUGGUACAAGAUGGUCCCGCGUCUGAUUAGCUAGUUGGUGGGGUAACGGCUUACCAAGGCGACGAUCAGUAGCCGACCUGAGAGGGUGACCGGCCACAUUGGGACUGAGACACGGCCCAAACUCCUACGGGAGGCAGCAGUGGGGGAAUAUUGCACAAUGGGCGAAGACCUGAUGCAGCGACGCCGCGUGAGCGAAGAAGCUCGUGUAGUA